RNAcentral lists this long non-coding RNA (213 nucleotides) under Capsella rubella. Its description in RNAcentral is "long non-coding RNA (CRUB_LNC001872)". Lineage: Eukaryota; Viridiplantae; Streptophyta; Magnoliopsida; Brassicales; Brassicaceae. The record is from RNAcentral.
UCAAUGCCAAUUAUCUAUGUACUGAUGUACAUACCCCAUCGGGAAUUAAAUGCAAGACACAUAGAGUAGGAGACCGUACUUUCAACUUGCAAAUUUAAUUAACACUAAAGUUGAAUGAAGAAUCUAGAAAUAGAAAGCCUAAGUAUUCUUUUACUUCUUACUCUAACAUUUGUUUUCUCUUUUCUCUGUACUUGGCUUCCAAAGUCAUCAUCA